Molecule: long non-coding RNA, 341 nt
Organism: Epinephelus moara (kelp grouper)
Lineage: Eukaryota; Metazoa; Chordata; Actinopteri; Perciformes; Serranidae
Exons: 3
Source: RefSeq, a predicted model, not a curated record
GUUCACACAAGUACCCUUCUAUGUACCCUACAUCCUAACAGGUUCACACUAGUACCCUUCUAUGUACCCUACAUCCUAAAAGGUUCACACUAGUACCCUUCUAUAUACCCUACAUCCUAACAGGUUCACACUAGUACCCUUCUAUAUACCCUACAUCCUAAGAGGUUCACACAAGUACCCUUCUAUGUACCCUACAUCCUAACAGGUUCACACUAGUACCCUUCUAUAUACCCUACAUCCUAACAGGUUCACACAAGUACCCUUCUAUGUACCCUACAUCCUAACAGGUUUACACUAGUACUCAUCUAUAUACUCUACAUCCUAACUGGUACACACUAGUA